Molecule: ribosomal RNA, 403 nt
Filed under: uncultured bacterium
Lineage: Bacteria
Description: partial 16S ribosomal RNA
Rfam family: Bacterial small subunit ribosomal RNA
Source: RNAcentral
GACGAACGCUGGCGGCGUGCCUAAUACAUGCAAGUCGAACGCAGUGGGGACGGGUGAGUAACACGUGGGUAACCUCCCAUCAGAGGGGAUAACACUUGGAAACAGGUGCUAAACCGAUACUGAUGGAUGGACCCGCGGUGCAUUAGCUAGUUGGUGCGGUAACGGCUCACCAAGGCAACGAUGCAUAGCCGGCCGUAGAGGGUGAUCGGACACACUGGAACUGAGACACGGCCCAGACUCCUACGGGAGGCAGAAGUGGGGAAUAUUGCAAAAUGGGCGCAAGCCUGAUGCAGACAUGCCGCGUGUAUGAAGAGGGCCUUCGGGUUGUAAAGUACUUUCAGCGGGGAGGCGUUACCCGCAGAAGAAGCACCGGCUAACUCCGUGCCAGCAGCCGCGGUAAUUC